UACGGAGGGUGCGAGCGUUGUCCGGAAUCACUGGGCGUAAAGGGCGCGUAGGUGGCGCGGGCAGUCAACGGUGAAAGUUCGGGGCUCAACCCUGAAUCGGCCGUCGAUACUCCCGAGCUCGAGCACUGUAGAGGCAGAUGGAAUUCCGGGUGUAGCGGUGGAAUGCGUAGAGAUCCGGAAGAACACCGGUGGCGAAGGCGGCCCUG
Molecule: ribosomal RNA, 206 nt
Filed under: uncultured bacterium
Lineage: Bacteria
Description: partial 16S ribosomal RNA
Rfam family: Bacterial small subunit ribosomal RNA
Source: RNAcentral